GCCCUUGUGGCACAACAGUUAAGCAAUUAGCUGCUAACAAAAAGUUGGUGAUUCAAACCCACCCAGUGGCU
This 71-nucleotide transfer RNA is filed under the name Loxodonta africana (African savanna elephant). It matches the Rfam family "tRNA". From Rfam's summary of the family: Transfer RNA (tRNA) molecules are approximately 80 nucleotides in length. Their secondary structure includes four short double-helical elements and three loops (D, anti-codon, and T loops). Lineage: Eukaryota; Metazoa; Chordata; Mammalia; Proboscidea; Elephantidae. The record is from Rfam by way of RNAcentral.